RNAcentral lists this ribosomal RNA (239 nucleotides) under uncultured bacterium. Its description in RNAcentral is "partial 16S ribosomal RNA". It matches the Rfam family "Bacterial small subunit ribosomal RNA", at positions 95 to 334 of the family's 1533-position model. The record is from RNAcentral.
CCGGCGCACGGGUGAGUAACACGUAUCCAACCCGCCGUCUACUCUUGGACAGCCUUCUGAAAGGAAGAUUAAUACAAGAUGGCAUCAUGAGUCCGCAUGUUCACAUGAUUAAAGGUGUUCCGGUAGACGAUGGGGAUGCGUUCCAUUAGAUAGUAGGCGGGGUAACGGCCCACCUAGUCUUCGAUGGAUAGGGGUUCUGAGAGGAAGGUCCCCCACAUUGGAACUGAGACACGGUCCAA